CACUGGGUAUGGUAACAUACCUGUAACCUCAGCACUUGGGAGGCUGAGGCAGGAGGA
RNAcentral lists this microRNA precursor (57 nucleotides) under Cricetulus griseus (Chinese hamster). RNAcentral's name for it is "miRNA (ENSCGRG00000021696.1)". Lineage: Eukaryota; Metazoa; Chordata; Mammalia; Rodentia; Cricetidae. The record is from RNAcentral.